GCCAGUUUGGCCGAGUGGUUAAGGCGGUGGUCUUAAGCACCAUUAUCGAGAGAUUCACAGGUUCGAACCCUGUAGCUGGCA
RNAcentral lists this transfer RNA (81 nucleotides) under Sporothrix schenckii ATCC 58251. RNAcentral's name for it is "tRNA-Leu (TAA) (tRNA-Leu-TAA-1-1)". It matches the Rfam family "tRNA". From Rfam's summary of the family: Transfer RNA (tRNA) molecules are approximately 80 nucleotides in length. Lineage: Eukaryota; Fungi; Ascomycota; Sordariomycetes; Ophiostomatales; Ophiostomataceae. The record is from RNAcentral.